This 97-nucleotide transfer RNA is filed under the name Candidatus Caccocola faecipullorum. RNAcentral describes it as "tRNA-Sec". It matches the Rfam family "Selenocysteine transfer RNA". The record is from RNAcentral. Lineage: Bacteria; Thermotogati; Synergistota; Synergistia; Synergistales; Synergistaceae.
GGAGGUGCGUUUCAGCUGGUGCUGGGCCCGGACUUCAAAUCCGGUGAGAGGGGUUAAUAGCUUCUCUGGUAGGUUCGAUUCCUACACGCCUCCGCCA